CCUGCAUGAAGUCGGAAUUGCUAGUAAUCGUGGAUCAGCAUGCCACGGUGAAUACGUUCCCGGGCCUUGUACACACCGCCCGUCACACCAUGGGAGUCGGUAACACCCGAAGCCUGUAGUCUAACCGCAAGGAGGACGCAGUCGAAGGUGGGAUUGAUGACUGGGGUGAAGUCGUAACAAGGUACC
Molecule: ribosomal RNA, 186 nt
Filed under: uncultured bacterium
Lineage: Bacteria
Description: partial 16S ribosomal RNA
Rfam family: Bacterial small subunit ribosomal RNA
Source: RNAcentral